This 132-nucleotide small RNA is filed under the name Citrobacter braakii. RNAcentral's name for it is "RtT sRNA". It matches the Rfam family "RtT RNA". Rfam says of the family: This family represents a bacterial cis-regulatory element known as RtT RNA. The exact function of RtT is unknown although it is thought that it may be involved in changing the cellular response in relation to amino acid starvation. The record is from RNAcentral. Lineage: Bacteria; Pseudomonadati; Pseudomonadota; Gammaproteobacteria; Enterobacterales; Enterobacteriaceae.
AGUUUGCACUUACUGGGAAGGGUGAGAGCCUUCGAUUAAGGUUCGACUCGAGCGAAAGCGAGAGAACGUUGCCAACGGCAACGGCCCGAAGGGUGAGGAGCGAAGCGACGAAUAAUUCUUCCCCCACCACCA